CCCAGCUAUUUUUUUUAAAUAAAUGACUUUCUAAGGUAUCUACAUUUAUUCAGUCCUGUGUUUCUGUUAGGACAUCUUCUAUUACAAAAUCUACUAGGAAAUCUAGAGGCCUCCAAGGACCUGGCUGGGCUUCAACUCUGUGUGAGUUUGAGAUGAGUAAACCAGACUGAAGGACCUUGCCCAAGGCCUGCUUCAGCUGCCAGCCACCCACACUUGCCAAGAGAAAGGAAAGUGGCUUUGUCACCUCCUGAGGGACUGCCUUUGACAUCAGAAAACCACCCCAAGCCCUGGCACCAGCAGAGCUGGGCUGCAUCUGACUACCAUUAGCAGCUGUCCUUCAGAAGGAGGAGAUCCACCUGUCUGGAUCUCAGUGUCCUCAUUCGUGGAAUAAAAGCUCUGGAAUAAGAUCCACCCUGAUUUCAGCGGGCGCUCCUGGGUCUUGUAUGCACUAGGUGCUCUGAAUGCUUGGCAACUGGAAUGGGUUAGCCUGGAGGCAUUUAGACUGUCCUUCUACAACCACAGAAGAGCCAUCACUGGUAGAGAGAUCCUUGGCGCAGUUAAGCAGAGAUCUUCUCAGAAGAGCUUUUGAACAAAUGAAGUUGUUCGGAAUGGCCUUGUUAAAAUGACUCACUUGUCAAAACAAUUGGAUGUGUUGGAAGGCUGGGUUGGAAGACAAGAUGUCUGAGAAGCUGUCCUGCUGCAUGAGGAGUUUCACUGCUACACACCUAAUCUCCCGGUCCUGUGUUUUUGGCCUCCAGCUUACUUCGUGAACAUAAUAAAGGAAAGGCAUUUUCUCUUGUGC
Long non-coding RNA from Rhinopithecus roxellana (golden snub-nosed monkey), 802 nucleotides. RefSeq lists it as uncharacterized. Lineage: Eukaryota; Metazoa; Chordata; Mammalia; Primates; Cercopithecidae. The transcript has 2 exons. The record is from RefSeq and is a predicted model, not a curated record.